UCUUUUGUCUAUUUUUAAACACCAUUCAAUCCGUCCGACCUAAGCUUAUUUUUGCAUAUUUUGGCGGAUUA
This 71-nucleotide transfer RNA is filed under the name Drosophila melanogaster (fruit fly). RNAcentral's name for it is "tRNA-Gly". The record is from RNAcentral. Lineage: Eukaryota; Metazoa; Arthropoda; Insecta; Diptera; Drosophilidae.